This 254-nucleotide ribosomal RNA is filed under the name uncultured bacterium. RNAcentral's name for it is "partial 16S ribosomal RNA". It matches the Rfam family "Bacterial small subunit ribosomal RNA", at positions 524 to 776 of the family's 1533-position model. The record is from RNAcentral.
UACGAACCGUGCGAACGUUAUUCGGAAUCACUGGGCUUAAAGCGCGUGUAGGCGGAAGGGCACGUCUGGUGCUGAAAUCCCCCGGCUCAACCGGGGAACGGGCACGGAUACGACUCUUCUGGAGGAACGUAGGGGGACCUGGAACUUCCGGUGGAGCGGUGAAAUGCGUUGAGAUCGGAAGGAACGCCCGUGGCGAAAGCGAGGUCCUGGACGUUUACUGACGCUGAGACGCGAAAGCCAGGGGAGCGAACGGG